CUGGCGGUCGCCAGCGGUACAGCAGGAACCCGGGCCCUGGCCGCUCCCUGGCUGAACUCAGGUUCUCGGUGUUUAGUUUCGCUUUUUUUUUAAUGGUAUUUUAAAUGAUAUUUUUUAAAGUAUCUGCUGCGCCUGCGGCCCUUGCUGGACACUGGAAAUCUGCUGCCCCCAUCUGAGGCAGACUCAUGGUGUAUCAUCAUCCGUGAAUUUACACCCAAGGAAACUGAGGCACAGAGAAGUUGAAGAGCUGUCCCAAGUCGGUAGAAGGACCAGGACUCGCACCAUGGCUGGCUGUGGACUUGCAGCCACCCUGCUGUGCUCUGAGCCUGAGGCCCUGGAAGGUCAAGGCCAAGCUUAUUUCUCUGUAAGGGACCCAACUGCUGCACAGCAGGAAAGAGGCAGGGCCUCCACUGAAAACCAGGGCUUUUCUGACUAAAAUCCACCUCUUCCGUACCCUGCUGUAGCAGUGCCCAUGUGCUGUUUAUAGCAGCGAACUCCUAGAAGCAUAAAUGGAGAUGUCCAA
Molecule: non-coding RNA, 523 nt
Organism: Heterocephalus glaber (naked mole-rat)
Lineage: Eukaryota; Metazoa; Chordata; Mammalia; Rodentia; Bathyergidae
Source: RefSeq, a predicted model, not a curated record